RNAcentral lists this ribosomal RNA (1536 nucleotides) under Bacteroides xylanisolvens. RNAcentral describes it as "bacterial SSU rRNA". It matches the Rfam family "Bacterial small subunit ribosomal RNA". The record is from RNAcentral. Lineage: Bacteria; Pseudomonadati; Bacteroidota; Bacteroidia; Bacteroidales; Bacteroidaceae.
CUUUUACAAUGAAGAGUUUGAUCCUGGCUCAGGAUGAACGCUAGCUACAGGCUUAACACAUGCAAGUCGAGGGGCAGCAUUUUAGUUUGCUUGCAAACUAAAGAUGGCGACCGGCGCACGGGUGAGUAACACGUAUCCAACCUGCCGAUAACUCGGGGAUAGCCUUUCGAAAGAAAGAUUAAUAUCCGAUAGUAUAUUAAAACCGCAUGGUUUUACUAUUAAAGAAUUUCGGUUAUCGAUGGGGAUGCGUUCCAUUAGUUUGUUGGCGGGGUAACGGCCCACCAAGACUACGAUGGAUAGGGGUUCUGAGAGGAAGGUCCCCCACAUUGGAACUGAGACACGGUCCAAACUCCUACGGGAGGCAGCAGUGAGGAAUAUUGGUCAAUGGACGAGAGUCUGAACCAGCCAAGUAGCGUGAAGGAUGACUGCCCUAUGGGUUGUAAACUUCUUUUAUAUGGGAAUAAAGUAUUCCACGUGUGGAAUUUUGUAUGUACCAUAUGAAUAAGGAUCGGCUAACUCCGUGCCAGCAGCCGCGGUAAUACGGAGGAUCCGAGCGUUAUCCGGAUUUAUUGGGUUUAAAGGGAGCGUAGGUGGAUUGUUAAGUCAGUUGUGAAAGUUUGCGGCUCAACCGUAAAAUUGCAGUUGAAACUGGCAGUCUUGAGUACAGUAGAGGUGGGCGGAAUUCGUGGUGUAGCGGUGAAAUGCUUAGAUAUCACGAAGAACUCCGAUUGCGAAGGCAGCUCACUAGACUGCAACUGACACUGAUGCUCGAAAGUGUGGGUAUCAAACAGGAUUAGAUACCCUGGUAGUCCACACAGUAAACGAUGAAUACUCGCUGUUUGCGAUAUACAGUAAGCGGCCAAGCGAAAGCAUUAAGUAUUCCACCUGGGGAGUACGCCGGCAACGGUGAAACUCAAAGGAAUUGACGGGGGCCCGCACAAGCGGAGGAACAUGUGGUUUAAUUCGAUGAUACGCGAGGAACCUUACCCGGGCUUAAAUUGCAUUUGAAUAAUCUGGAAACAGGUUAGCCGCAAGGCAAAUGUGAAGGUGCUGCAUGGUUGUCGUCAGCUCGUGCCGUGAGGUGUCGGCUUAAGUGCCAUAACGAGCGCAACCCUUAUCUUUAGUUACUAACAGGUCAUGCUGAGGACUCUAGAGAGACUGCCGUCGUAAGAUGUGAGGAAGGUGGGGAUGACGUCAAAUCAGCACGGCCCUUACGUCCGGGGCUACACACGUGUUACAAUGGGGGGUACAGAAGGCAGCUACCUGGUGACAGGAUGCUAAUCCCAAAAACCUCUCUCAGUUCGGAUCGAAGUCUGCAACCCGACUUCGUGAAGCUGGAUUCGCUAGUAAUCGCGCAUCAGCCAUGGCGCGGUGAAUACGUUCCCGGGCCUUGUACACACCGCCCGUCAAGCCAUGAAAGCCGGGGGUACCUGAAGUACGUAACCGCAAGGAGCGUCCUAGGGUAAAACUGGUAAUUGGGGCUAAGUCGUAACAAGGUAGCCGUACCGGAAGGUGCGGCUGGAACACCUCCUUUCU